This is a long non-coding RNA of Papaver somniferum (opium poppy), 434 nucleotides long. RefSeq lists it as uncharacterized. The transcript has 3 exons. Lineage: Eukaryota; Viridiplantae; Streptophyta; Magnoliopsida; Ranunculales; Papaveraceae. The record is from RefSeq and is a predicted model, not a curated record.
UUUGCUAUUCCCGUUUCUUCCGUUGCUUCAGAAUCAGCAUUUAGUACCGGAAAAAGAAUUUUGGAUCCUUUUCGAAGCUCCUUAAAGCCCAAGACACUUGAGGCCUUAAUUUUGUUACAAAAUUGGUUACGAACACCAAUAGACAUGGAUUCAUCUACCCUUGGAGUCGAGGAGGAGGAGAUUGAUAUUGCUGAGUCUGAGCUAUUCAGUUUCAGUGACCUUGCUUCUUCUUCUAUCGUCAUAGACUCAUAGACAAGGCUUUCAGCCAUUCGGAGGUAAAACAUCCACAAACUUGCAGGCUUGCAGCGACUCGCGGUUGGUCGCUUUAUAUGAUAUUAGGCUUUAGUAUAGUACGCAAUACUCAAUAGUAAUGCACUCUUUUAUCUUUUGAGCUUUGAACAAUUGAACUCUGUUCCUUUUUAUUGUUAGCUUUA